RNAcentral lists this ribosomal RNA (495 nucleotides) under uncultured bacterium. RNAcentral's name for it is "partial 16S ribosomal RNA". It matches the Rfam family "Bacterial small subunit ribosomal RNA", at positions 28 to 507 of the family's 1533-position model. The record is from RNAcentral.
GACGAACGCUGGCGGCGUGCCUAAUACAUGCAAGUAGAACGCUGAAGGAGGAGCUUGCUUCUCUGGAUGAGUUGCGAACGGGUGAGUAACGCGUAGGUAACCUGCCUGGUAGCGGGGGAUAACUAUUGGAAACGAUAGCUAAUACCGCAUAAUAGUAGAUGUUGCAUGACAUUUGCUUAAAAGGUGCAAUUGCAUCACUACCAGAUGGACCUGCGUUGUAUUAGCUAGUUGGUGAGGUAACGGCUCACCAAGGCAACGAUACAUAGCCGACCUGAGAGGGUGAUCGGCCACACUGGGACUGAGACACGGCCCAGACUCCUACGGGAGGCAGCAGUAGGGAAUCUUCGGCAAUAGACGGAAGUCUGACCGAGCAACGCCGCGUGAGUGAAGAAGGUUUUCGGAUCGUAAAGCUCUGUUGUAAGAGAAGAACGAGUGUGAGAGUGGAAAGUUCACACUGUGACGGUAUCUUACCAGAGAGGGACGGCUAACUACGUG